This is a long non-coding RNA of Xyrauchen texanus (razorback sucker), 2101 nucleotides long. RefSeq lists it as uncharacterized. The record is from RefSeq and is a predicted model, not a curated record. NCBI's taxonomy places the organism in Eukaryota, Metazoa, Chordata, Actinopteri, Cypriniformes, Catostomidae. The transcript is spliced from 4 exons.
AAGUGAACAGAAUUUCAUGUGUUGGAAGCAGGAAAAAUGGGCAAGCCUAAGAAUCUGAGCGACUUUGACGAGGGUUAAAUUGUGCUGGCUAGACGACUGUGUCAGAGCAUCUCCAAAACGGUAGGUCUUGAGGGGUGUUCCCAGUAUGCAGUGGUUAGUACCUACCAAAAGUGGUCCAAGGAAGGACAACCGGUGAACCGGCGACAGGGUCAAAGGUCGCUCACUGAUGCUUGUGGGGAGCGAAGGCUAGCCCGUCUGGUCCAAUCCCACAGAAGAGCCACUGCAGCGCUAUUGUAGCACAAAUUGCUGAAAAACGUAAUGCUGGCCAUGAUAGAAAGGUGUCAGGACACACAGUGCAUCACAGCUUGACCGGUCAGAUUGCUGACCCCUGUCCACCACCAAAAGUACCUACAAUGGGCACGUGAGUGUCAGAACUGGACCAUGGAGCGAUGGAAGAAGGUGGCCUGGUCUGAUGACUCACGUUUUCUUUUAGAUCAUGUGUUUUUUACGGUUUGGUCUGUACAUUCAGUUUAAUUGAAAUUUUCAGUGGCUAGAUAAAGUAUGUGAACCCUUUGGAAUUAGCUGCAUUUAUGUUUAAAUUUGUCUUAAAAUCUGGUUUGAUCUUCAUCUCAGUUACAAUAAUAAACAAACACAAUCUGUUUUAAUUAAUAACACAAACAUUAUUGUAUUUUUCUUGGACAUAUUGAAUACAUUAAUCAAACAUUCACAGUGUAGGUUAGAAAAAGUACGUGAACCCCUAGGCUAAUGACGUCAACAAAAGCUAAUUAGAGUCAGGAGUUGGCAAACCUGGCAUCCAAUUAAUGAAACAAGAUUGGAGGUGUGGGUUAGAGCUACUUUUGACUAAUAAAAGCACUCAGACUUUCUGAGUUUGCUAUUCACAAGAAGCAUCUGCUGACGUGGACCAUGACUUGGAAGACCUACGAUCAGGAACUGUUGCUUUGCAUAAAGCUGGAAAGGGUUACAAAGUUAUCUGGAAGAGUUUAGAUAUUCAUCUGUCCACAGUUAGACAAACUGUCUAUAAAUGGAGAUGAUUUAGUACUAUAGGUACUCUCACUAGAAGUGGCUGUUAGAUAUUCAUCUGUCCACAGUUAGACAAACUGUCUAUAAAUGGAGAUGGUUUAGUACUAUAGGUACUCUCACUAGAAGUGGCUGUUAGAUAUUCAUCUGUCCACAGUGAGACAAACUGUCUAUAAAUGGAGAUGAUUUAGUACUAUAUGUACUCUCACUAGAAGUGGCCGUUAGAUAUUCAUCUGUCCACAGUUAGACAAACUGUCUAUAAAUGGAGAUGAUUUAGUACUAUAUGUACUCUCACUAGAAGUGGCCGUUAGAUAUUCAUCUGUCCACAGUUAGACAAACUGUCUAUAAAUGGAGAUGAUUUAGUACUAUAGAUACUCUCACUAGAAGUGGCCGUUAGAUAUUCAUCUGUCCACAGUUAGACAAACUGUCUAUAAAUGGAGAUGAUUUAGUACUAUAGGUACUCUCACUAGAAGUGGCUGUUAGAUAUUCAUCUGUCCACAGUUAGACAAACUGUCUAUAAAUGGAGAUGAUUUAGUACUAUAGGUACUCUCACUAGAAGUGGCCGUUAGAUAUUCAUCUGUCCACAGUUAGACAAACUGUGUAUAAAUGGAGAUGAUUUAGUACUAUAGGUACUCUCUCUAGAAGUGGUCGUUAGAUCUUCAUCUGUCCACAGUUAGACAAACUGUCUAUAAAUGGAGAUGAUUUAGUACUAUAGGUACUCUCACUAGAAGUGGCUGUUAGAUAUUCAUCUGUCCACAGUUAGACAAACUGUCUAUAAAUGGAGAUGAUUUAGUACUAUAUGUACUCUCACUAGAAGUGGCCGUUAGAUAUUCAUCUGUCCACAGUUAGACAAACUGUCUAUAAAUGGAGAUGAUUUAGUACUAUAGGUACUCUCACUAGAAGUGGCCGUUAGAUAUUCAUCUGUCCACAGUUAGACAAACUGUGUAUAAAUGGAGAUGAUUUAGUACUAUAGGUACUCUCUCUAGAAGUGGUCGUUAGAUCUUCAUCUGUCCACAGUUAGACAAACUGUCUAUAAAUGGAGAUGAUUUAGUACUAUAGGUAC